This 426-nucleotide ribosomal RNA is filed under the name uncultured bacterium. RNAcentral describes it as "partial 16S ribosomal RNA". It matches the Rfam family "Bacterial small subunit ribosomal RNA", at positions 354 to 796 of the family's 1533-position model. The record is from RNAcentral.
GUGAGGAAUUUUCCGCAAUGGGCGAAAGCCUGACGGAGCAAUGCCGCGUGAAGGAUGAAGGCCUAUGGGUUGUAAACUUCUUUUCUCAGAAAAGAAUUAUGACGGUAUCUGAGGAAUAAGCAUCGGCUAACUCUGUGCCAGCAGCCGCGGUAAGACAGAGGAUGCAAGCGUUAUCCGGAAUGAUUGGGCGUAAAGCGUCUGUAGGUUGUUUAAAAAGUAUUCUGUCAAAGAUUAGGGCUUAACCCUAGAUAGGCAGAAUAAACUUUUAAGCUAGAGUUUGGUAGAGGCAGAGGGAAUUCCCGGUGGAGCGGUGAAAUGCGUAGAUAUCGGGAGGAACACCAAAGGCGAAGGCACUCUGCUGGGCCAAUACUAACACUGAGAGACGAAAGCGAGGGGAGCAAAUGAGAUUAGAAACCCUGGUAGUCC